UUCUUCCUCCAGAACCAAACCCAUGCUCUGCCGUUCGUCUCUCUUCUCUAUGCUCUACCUUCUCCUUCCCCAAAACCCAACACUGAAAAUCAAUCCUGCCAAGAAGCCAUCCCCACACUCUUAGGUCCAAGAUAGAAAGAAGGCAUCACCGAACAAACUACUAUCCCAGCCGUGGCAGAGGGUAUAGCUCCUGUGGUUCUUAAUUUUGCAUCAUAAUUGCCUCAAACUCAGACCCUAUCCUCUCUCUCUAAUCUCAGCCAAAUCCAUCACCACUCUCAAUUUGCUUCUGUCGUUGAUGUUGCAUAAGGUGCUUAAUAGGAUUUUGUAGAAUUUUUGGUGUUUUGGCUGCUUUUAGUUCAAGUGAAUUCCAUGAGGUGAAUUUCAUGUAAGAUGUAAUUGAUAUUUUCAAUAGAA
Long non-coding RNA from Quercus lobata, 414 nucleotides. RefSeq lists it as uncharacterized. The transcript is spliced from 3 exons. The record is from RefSeq and is a predicted model, not a curated record. NCBI's taxonomy places the organism in Eukaryota, Viridiplantae, Streptophyta, Magnoliopsida, Fagales, Fagaceae.